Molecule: ribosomal RNA, 435 nt
Filed under: uncultured bacterium
Lineage: Bacteria
Description: partial 16S ribosomal RNA
Rfam family: Bacterial small subunit ribosomal RNA
Source: RNAcentral
AACGAACGCUGGCGGCAGGCCUAACACAUGCAAGUCGAGCGGACAUCUUCGGAUGUUAGCGGCGGACGGGUGAGUAACGCGUGGGAACGUGCCCUCUGCUUCGGAAUAGCCUCGGGAAACUGGGAGUAAUACCGGAUGUACCCUUUGGGGGAAAGAUUUAUCGGCAAAGGAUCGGCCCGCGUUGGAUUAGGUAGUUGGUGGGGUAAUGGCCUACCAAGCCGACGAUCCAUAGCUGGUUUGAGAGGAUGAUCAGCCACACUGGGACUGAGACACGGCCCAGACUCCUACGGGAGGCAGCAGUGGGGAAUCUUAGACAAUGGGGGAAACCCUGAUCUAGCCAUGCCGCGUGAGCGAUGAAGGCCUUAGGGUUGUAAAGCUCUUUCACCGGGGAAGAUAAUGACGGUACCCGGAGAAGAAGCCCCGGCUAACUCCGUG